GGGGUCGACUGGAUUUGACAGCAAGAAUUAUAAUUUUAUAAGCAAGUCGAGAAUUGAAACAUAGCUCGUUAAUCUUAUGCUUCAAAUUUUAAAUGGCGAAAAUAAAUACGCUCUGGCUGCAUAAUUGACCGAAUAAUAGUAGGUUUUUGCUUUUCUUAGCUAGGCUAAGAAGCUGGAUGUCUCAUAAUAGCCCUUGUUGACGGCGAUUAUUUUAGAGGCACCAUAAAUGUCAACAUAGAAAUACAAUAGUAUCGGUUGUAUUUCUCAAUACAGAUACUAAGGAAGUUAUGGGUAGUUUUCGAUCAGUAACUUCUCUAAAAUUAAACGUAAACUAAACUUGUAGAAAGUAUUUUUAUAACUUGUUUGGACGAGGGUUCGAAUCCCUCCGACUCCACUG
Molecule: transfer-messenger RNA, 397 nt
Filed under: Flavobacteriaceae
Lineage: Bacteria; Pseudomonadati; Bacteroidota; Flavobacteriia; Flavobacteriales
Also listed under: 1 other name
Description: GCA-2719315 sp002719315 Standard tmRNA
Rfam family: transfer-messenger RNA
About the family: Bacterial tmRNA, also known as 10Sa RNA or SsrA, is named for its dual tRNA and mRNA-like properties. Its role is to liberate the mRNA from a stalled ribosome. To accomplish this part of the tmRNA is used as a reading frame that ends in a translation stop signal.
Source: RNAcentral